RNAcentral lists this ribosomal RNA (301 nucleotides) under uncultured bacterium. RNAcentral describes it as "partial 16S ribosomal RNA". It matches the Rfam family "Bacterial small subunit ribosomal RNA", at positions 509 to 807 of the family's 1533-position model. The record is from RNAcentral.
CAGCAGCCACGGGAAUACGAAGGGUGCAAGCGUUAAUCGGAAUUACUGGGCGUAAAGCGCGCGUAGGUGGUUUGGUAAGAUGGAUGUGAAAUCCCCGGGCUCAACCUGGGAACUGCAUCCAUAACUGCCUGACUAGAGUACGGUAGAGGGUGGUGGAAUUUCCUGUGUAGCGGUGAAAUGCGUAGAUAUAGGAAGGAACACCAUUGGCGAAGGCGACCACCUGGACUGAUACUGACACUGAGGUGCGAAAGCGUGGGGAGCAAACAGGAUUAGAUACCCCAGUAGUCCCUGUCUCUUAUAC